UAUAAUCGUAGGGGUCAUCAACAGACUCUCACUCUUAAAAUAAAGCUCUAAUCAUUGUAUGCCAAGUACCAUAGGUUUGCUUUUAUUUUCAUUACCAAGACCUUCAGAUAGGCCAGCUUGGAUCACUAUAGGACUUCUUUUAGGCUUGUAAUAUAGGCUUGGGCUGAUAUGAUACUCAAGGACAUUUAGAGUGACUAUGCCUCCUUGACACUACACUACUCUCUUG
This 226-nucleotide long non-coding RNA is filed under the name Capsicum annuum. RNAcentral describes it as "long non-coding RNA (CANN_LNC020049)". The record is from RNAcentral. Lineage: Eukaryota; Viridiplantae; Streptophyta; Magnoliopsida; Solanales; Solanaceae.